AAGUCGUAACAAGGUUUCCGUAGGUGAACCUGCGGAAGGAUCAUUAUCGAAUAUGAUUCGAAGAGGUAGAGAGACUGUCGCCUGGCCAGAUCUUGGCAUGUGCACGUCCCCUCACCUUUUCUAUCUACACACACCUGUGCACCUAUUGUAGAUCCCUCUCGAAAGAGAGGGAACUAUGUUUUCAUCACAUCACACACAAUGUAUGUCUAGAAUGUAAAAAACAAUAUAUACAACUUUCAGCAACGGAUCUCUUGGCUCUCGCAUCGAUUAAGAACGCAGCGAAUUGCGAUAAGUAAUGUGAAUUGCAGAUUUCCAGUGAAUCAUCGAAUCUUUGAACGCACCUUGCGCUCCUUGGUAUUCCGAGGAGCAUGCCUGUUUGAGUGUCAUCGAAUUCUCAACCAUUCUCUCUUUUCUGGGAGUAUGGCUUGGACUUGGGGGUUGCUGGCAGCACUGUCAGCUCUCCUUAAAUGUAUUAGCAAUCAAGUUGGCUAGUCUUUUGACGUACACGGCCUCGGACGUGAUAAUGAUCGUCGUGNCUGGAGCGUCUUUCCUAGACUAUGUACAUAGAUCGCUUCUAAUCUGUUGUCUAUCGAGCUUAGCUACUAGGCAGUCUUUUUGGCUGGCGAACGCAAGCGAGACAUUCACAUUCUCAGAGACUUGACCUCAAAUCAGGUAGGACUACCCGCUGAACUUAAGCAUAUCAAUAAGCGGAGGAAAAGAAACUAACAAGGAUUCCCCUAGUAACUGCGAGUGAAGAGGGAAAAGCUCAAAUUUUGAAUCUGGCGGUCAUUUCGGCCGUCCGAGUUGUAAUCUAGAGAAGCGUCUUCCGCGCUGGACCGUGUACAAGUCUCCUGGAAGGGAGCGUCAUAGAGGGUGAGAAUCCCGUCUUUGACACGGACUACCAGCGCUAUGUGAUGCGCUCUCGACGAGUCGAGUUGUUUGGGAAUGCAGCUCAAAAUGGGUGGUAAAUUCCAUCUAAAGCUAAAUACAGGCGAGAGACCGAUAGCGAACAAGUACCGUGAGGGGAAGAUGAAAAGAACUUUGGAAAGAGAGUUAAACAGUACGUGGAAUUGCUGAAAGGGAAACGCUUGAUGUCAGUCACGUUCGCCAGGGAUCAACCUCGCUUUAUCGCUGGGUGCAUUUCUUGGUCGGACGGGUCAGCAUCAGUUUCGAUCGUCGUAGAAUGGUCAAGGGAACGUGGCACCUCUAGGGGUGUGUUAUAGCCCUCGAUCGUAUGCGUUGGUGGGGACUGAGGAACUCGGCACGACCUUUACUGGUCUGUGUCUAGGAUGCUGGCAUAAUGGCCUUAAGCGACC
This 1316-nucleotide ribosomal RNA is filed under the name uncultured fungus. Its description in RNAcentral is "eukaryotic LSU rRNA". The stretch from base 659 to 1316 matches the Rfam family "Eukaryotic large subunit ribosomal RNA", at positions 1 to 649 of the family's 3401-position model. The record is from RNAcentral. Lineage: Eukaryota; Fungi.